UGCAUAAUUAAAUUUUAUAGCGUAAAAGCAAAAUAAAUUCAUACAUACAGUAACACAGAUAACCAGAGUAUGUAAUUUAAUUUACAAUAACGUGUGGGCCCCCGAAUGACCAAAGGUAACAAAGGCUGUAGACCUACAAUUUUUGAGGAGGCGAGUCCAAUAAUAACCCUCGACGUAAUCAGCUAUUUAUGGACUGUUCUGAUCUUGGAAUGAGUGGAAAGGAGGGUGGUGAGUUUAUAUAAACUCAGUGAGUAAACAAAUAUCAUCUAAAAUAUCUAAAGUCGAGUAAAUGGAGACAACUUAAAAUAGUUCAUCGUACUAUGAUUCAUAACGUUUCAAACUCAUUUCAACUAAAUAAAAUAAUUUCAUUUCACUCAAAUAAUCAACAUGGCUUAUGAAUUUCUUAAAAAUUUGGCUUGUGCCAAAACUCAUUNN
Molecule: long non-coding RNA, 435 nt
Filed under: Theobroma cacao (cacao)
Lineage: Eukaryota; Viridiplantae; Streptophyta; Magnoliopsida; Malvales; Malvaceae
Description: long non-coding RNA (TCAC_LNC005913)
Source: RNAcentral